GGGCGAUUAGCUCAGCGGGAGAGCACUGCCUUCACACGGCAGGGGUCGCUGGUUCAAUCCCAGCAUCGCCCACCA
Molecule: transfer RNA, 75 nt
Filed under: Algimonas porphyrae
Lineage: Bacteria; Pseudomonadati; Pseudomonadota; Alphaproteobacteria; Maricaulales; Robiginitomaculaceae
Also listed under: 38 other names
Description: tRNA-Val
Rfam family: tRNA
About the family: Transfer RNA (tRNA) molecules are approximately 80 nucleotides in length. Their secondary structure includes four short double-helical elements and three loops (D, anti-codon, and T loops). Further hydrogen bonds mediate the characteristic L-shaped molecular structure. tRNAs have two regions of fundamental functional importance: the anti-codon, which is responsible for specific mRNA codon recognition, and the 3' end, to which the tRNAs corresponding amino acid is attached (by aminoacyl-tRNA synthetases). tRNAs cope with the degeneracy of the genetic code in two manners: having more than one tRNA (with a specific anti-codon) for a particular amino acid; and 'wobble' base-pairing, i.e. permitting non-standard base-pairing at the 3rd anti-codon position.
Source: RNAcentral